Molecule: ribosomal RNA, 442 nt
Filed under: uncultured Acinetobacter sp.
Lineage: Bacteria; Pseudomonadati; Pseudomonadota; Gammaproteobacteria; Moraxellales; Moraxellaceae
Description: bacterial SSU rRNA
Rfam family: Bacterial small subunit ribosomal RNA
Source: RNAcentral
UGGGGAAUAUUGGACAGUGGGGGGAAGCCCAUCGAUCCAGCCAUGCCGCGCUGUGUGAAGAAGGCCAAUUAUGGGCUUUGUGAAAUGCAACUUUUAAGCGAGGAGGAGGCUCUUUUGGUUAAUACCCAAGAUGAGUGGACGUUACUCGCAGAAUAAGCACCGGCUAACUCUGUGCCAGCAGCCGCGGUAAUACAGAGGGUGCGAGCGUUAAUCGGAUUUACUGGGCGUAAAGCGUGCGUAGGCGGCUUUUUAAGUCGGAUGUGAAAUCCCCGAGCUUAACUUGGGAAUUGCAUUCGAUACUGGGAAGCUAGAGUAUGGGAGAGGAUGGUAGAAUUCCAGGUGUAGCGGUGAAAUGCGUAGAGAUCUUGGAGGAAUACCGAUGGCGAAGGCAGCCAUCUGGCCUAAUACUGACGCUGAGGUACGAAAGCAUGGGGAGCAAACA